AAAACACAAAUUAUCGAUUAUUAUUAUCGUAUCUUAAGCUGUCAUUAUCAACUCGAGCAUCAGGUGCAGUGUCAUCGCUGGAAAAAAGGUUUACCAGAAUGGCUGAUAUGAAGCUUAUCUAUAGUUCACCGAAUGAAAGUGAGAGUGACUCCGAUGGGUUCCCUUACUCGCAGUUUGUGAAGAACCUCUAUAAAAAAGCGAGGAGGCGACCACGUGGCAAUCAAUCGCCCACAAUGAGCAGGAUCAUCAUGGAAACUUCAUCAUUACGAACUUACGAUCCACAUUCGCCGAUGGAUGCUUUUUGUCUACUCCUCAAAUCACUUAAUCCGAAAUAUCACAAAUUCUUUUACUUUCUGUGCACUCUAACUGGGUUCGCUAUUCUGGCUUAUGUGACUUAUUUAAAGUACUAUUGAACAUUGCGUUAUUUCAGAUUUGUAUUAAAAACUAACACAUCUAAUAAAAAUCAAUGCAAUUAUUAA
RNA transcript from Drosophila albomicans, 479 nucleotides. RefSeq lists it as uncharacterized. The record is from RefSeq and is a predicted model, not a curated record. The transcript is spliced from 3 exons. NCBI's taxonomy places the organism in Eukaryota, Metazoa, Arthropoda, Insecta, Diptera, Drosophilidae.